UCCCUUUCAGAAGAAUUUUAACUGCUACAGU
Molecule: non-coding RNA, 31 nt
Filed under: Mus musculus (house mouse)
Lineage: Eukaryota; Metazoa; Chordata; Mammalia; Rodentia; Muridae
Source: RNAcentral